GAUGAACGCUGGCGGCGUGCCUAAUACAUGCAAGUCGAGCGAACGGACGAGAAGCUUGCUUCUCUGAUGUUAGCGGCGGACGGGUGAGUAACACGUGGAUAACCUACCUAUAAGACUGGGAUAACUUCGGGAAACCGGAGCUAAUACCGGAUAAUAUUUUGAACCGCAUGGUUCAAAAGUGAAAGACGGUCUUGCUGUCACUUAUAGAUGGAUCCGCGCUGCAUUAGCUAGUUGGUAAGGUAACGGCUUACCAAGGCAACGAUGCAUAGCCGACCUGAGAGGGUGAUCGGCCACACUGGAACUGGGACACGGUCCAGACUCCUACGGGAGGCAGCAGUAGGGAAUCUUCCGCAAUGGGCGAAAGCCUGACGGAGCAACGCCGCGUGAGUGAUGAAGAUCUUCGGAUCGUAAAACUCUGUUAUUAGGGAAGAACAUAUGUGUAAGUAACUGUGCACAUCUUGACGGUACCUAAUCAGAAAGCCACGGCUAACUACGUG
Molecule: ribosomal RNA, 497 nt
Filed under: uncultured bacterium
Lineage: Bacteria
Description: partial 16S ribosomal RNA
Rfam family: Bacterial small subunit ribosomal RNA
Source: RNAcentral